RNAcentral lists this ribosomal RNA (1361 nucleotides) under uncultured bacterium. Its description in RNAcentral is "bacterial SSU rRNA". It matches the Rfam family "Bacterial small subunit ribosomal RNA", at positions 28 to 1381 of the family's 1533-position model. The record is from RNAcentral.
AUUGAACGCUGGCGGCAGGCCUAACACAUGCAAGUCGAGCGGUAGCACAGAGAGCUUGCUCUCGGGUGACGAGCGGCGGACGGGUGAGUAAUGUCUGGGAAACUGCCUGAUGGAGGGGGAUAACUACUGGAAACGGUAGCUAAUACCGCAUAACGUCGCAAGACCAAAGUGGGGGACCUUCGGGCCUCAUGCCAUCAGAUGUGCCCAGAUGGGAUUAGCUAGUAGGUGGGGUAAUGGCUCACCUAGGCGACGAUCCCUAGCUGGUCUGAGAGGAUGACCAGCCACACUGGAACUGAGACACGGUCCAGACUCCUACGGGAGGCAGCAGUGGGGAAUAUUGCACAAUGGGCGCAAGCCUGAUGCAGCCAUGCCGCGUGUGUGAAGAAGGCCUUCGGGUUGUAAAGCACUUUCAGCGGGGAGGAAGGCGAUAAGGUUAAUAACCUCAUCGAUUGACGUUACCCGCAGAAGAAGCACCGGCUAACUCCGUGCCAGCAGCCGCGGUAAUACGGAGGGUGCAAGCGUUAAUCGGAAUUACUGGGCGUAAAGCGCACGCAGGCGGUCUGUCAAGUCGGAUGUGAAAUCCCCGGGCUCAACCUGGGAACUGCAUUCGAAACUGGCAGGCUAGAGUCUUGUAGAGGGGGGUAGAAUUCCAGGUGUAGCGGUGAAAUGCGUAGAGAUCUGGAGGAAUACCGGUGGCGAAGGCGGCCCCCUGGACAAAGACUGACGCUCAGGUGCGAAAGCGUGGGGAGCAAACAGGAUUAGAUACCCUGGUAGUCCACGCCGUAAACGAUGUCGAUUUGGAGGUUGUGCCCUUGAGGCGUGGCUUCCGGAGCUAACGCGUUAAAUCGACCGCCUGGGGAGUACGGCCGCAAGGUUAAAACUCAAAUGAAUUGACGGGGGCCCGCACAAGCGGUGGAGCAUGUGGUUUAAUUCGAUGCAACGCGAAGAACCUUACCUGGUCUUGACAUCCACAGAACUUUCCAGAGAUGGAUUGGUGCCUUCGGGAACUGUGAGACAGGUGCUGCAUGGCUGUCGUCAGCUCGUGCUGUGAAAUGUUGGGUUAAGUCCCGCAACGAGCGCAACCCUUAUCCUUUGUUGCCAGCGGUCCGGCCGGGAACUCAAAGGAGACUGCCAGUGAUAAACUGGAGGAAGGUGGGGAUGACGUCAAGUCAUCAUGGCCCUUACGACCAGGGCUACACACGUGCUACAAUGGCAUAUACAAAGAGAAGCGACCUCGCGAGAGCAAGCGGACCUCAUAAAGUAUGUCGUAGUCCGGAUUGGAGUCUGCAACUCGACUCCAUGAAGUCGGAAUCGCUAGUAAUCGUAGAUCAGAAUGCUACGGUGAAUACGUUCCCGGGCCU